Long non-coding RNA from Chinchilla lanigera (long-tailed chinchilla), 537 nucleotides. RefSeq lists it as uncharacterized. The record is from RefSeq and is a predicted model, not a curated record. NCBI's taxonomy places the organism in Eukaryota, Metazoa, Chordata, Mammalia, Rodentia, Chinchillidae. The transcript has 2 exons.
CAAAUGGAGACAUGUAGUGAGUUACCUAAAAAGGUCAUGCUGUGAUAAUGCAAUUCACUGGGAGAGAAAGCUUCGGGGCUCAGAAGCAAGGCUGGGCUGAAAACACAGAGGUCAAGGUCAUCUUAGAGGAGACACUGGGACCCGUACACACAGUCACAGAUAUGAGGUAAAAAGCAAUGCAAGUGGACGUGAUUGUCUGAGUCCAAGCUACUCAGGAAACUGAAGCAGGAGGAUCCCUUGAGCACAGAACUUCAAGGACAGCCUGGGCAACAUAGUGAGACCUCAUCCUCCCCACCCUAAAAAGCAAUGCAAAUUCAUGUUGGGGAAAGUAGAAGUUAAAUAAUGUUAGGCAUUGCUGAAUAUUCUGGACCAUCUGGAAAAUAUCACAGAGCAUACUUACACAAAUGAAGAUAACAUCCCUGGGCAGGAUGAUCUUAUGGGACCACUACCAUAUAUACAGCCCAUCACUGACCAGCACACGAUUACAGAGGGCAUGACAGUACAGGCAAAAGAGAAUAAAAAUCAUUAAUAAUCCCA